ACUACGGGUGGCAGCAGUGAGGAAUAUUGGUCAAUGGGCUUACGCCUGAACCAGCCAAGUCGCGUGAGGGAAGACUGCCCUAUGGGUUGUAAACCUCUUUUGUCAGGGAGCAACGCCGGCUACGUGUAGCCGGACUGAGAGUACCUGAAGAAAAAGCAUCGGCUAACUCCGUGCCAGCAGCCGCGGUAAUACGGAGGAUGAGAGCGUUAUCCGUAUUUAUUGGGUUUAAUGGGUGCGUAGGCGGAAUGCCAAGUCAGCGGUAAAAUCGCGGGGCUCAACCUCGCUCCGCCGUUGAAACUUGCGGUCUUGAGUGGGCGAGAAGUAUGCGGAAUGCGUGGUGUAGCGGUGAAAUGCAUAGAUAUCACGCAGAACUCCGAUUGCGAAGGCAGCAUACCGGCGCCCAACUGACGCUGAAGCACGAAAGCGUGGGUAUCGAACAGGAUUAGAUACCCUAGUAGUC
Molecule: ribosomal RNA, 460 nt
Filed under: uncultured bacterium
Lineage: Bacteria
Description: partial 16S ribosomal RNA
Rfam family: Bacterial small subunit ribosomal RNA
Source: RNAcentral